ACCUUAGAUGUUCUGGGCGGCCCGCGCACUACAAUGGCGCUUUCAGCGAGUUCCUAUGUUGAAUUUUCCUGGGUAUUCUUGGAAGCGGCGUCUUGACUUGGGAUAGAUCCUUGUAAUUGUUGGUUUUGAACGAGGAAUUCCUUGUAAUCGCGGUUGAUCAGCUCGCGUUGAAUACGUCCCUGCCCUUUGUACACACCGCCCGUCGCUCCUACCGAUGAAUCGUCCGGUGAAGUUCACAGAGUGGCGGUUCGUGGAGUUGCUCGCGAAGUGAAAUGGACCUCACGAUUUAGAGGAAGGAGAAGUCGUAACA
This 310-nucleotide ribosomal RNA is filed under the name uncultured eukaryote. Its description in RNAcentral is "partial 18S ribosomal RNA". It matches the Rfam family "Eukaryotic small subunit ribosomal RNA", at positions 1470 to 1796 of the family's 1831-position model. The record is from RNAcentral.